CCCGCUGAACUUAAGCAUAUCAAUAAGCGGAGGAAAAGAAACUAACAAGGAUUCCCCUAGUAACUGCGAGUGAAGCGGGAAAAGCUCAAAUUUAAAAUCUGGCGGUCCCUGUGGCCGUCCGAGUUGUAAUUUAGAGAAGUGUUAUCCGCGUUGGACCGUGUACAAGUCUCCUGGAAUGGAGCGUCAUAGAGGGUGAGAAUCCCGUCUUUGACACGGACUGCCAAGGCAUUGUGAUACGCUCUCAAAGAGUCGAGUUGUUUGGGAAUGCAGCUCAAAAUGGGUGGUAAAUUCCAUCUAAAGCUAAAUAUUGGGGAGAGACCGAUAGCGAACAAGUACCGUGAGGGAAAGAUGAAAAGAACUUUGGAAAGAGAGUUAAACAGUACGUGAAAUUGCUGAAAGGGAAACGCUUGAAGUCAGUCGCGUCGCCCAGGACUCAGCCUUGCUUUUGCUCGGUGUACUUCCUGUUCGAUGGGUCAGCAUCAAUUUUGGUCGGUGGAUAAAGGCUCAGAGAAUGUGGCAUCUUCGGGUGUGUUAUAGCUCUGGGUUGUAUACAUCGGCUGGGAUUGAGGAACUCAGCACGCCGCAAGGCCGGGUACUUGUACCACGUACGUGCUUAGGAUGCUGGCAUAAUGGCUUUAAUCGACCCGUCUUGAAACACGG
This 660-nucleotide ribosomal RNA is filed under the name uncultured fungus. RNAcentral describes it as "eukaryotic LSU rRNA". It matches the Rfam family "Eukaryotic large subunit ribosomal RNA", at positions 24 to 664 of the family's 3401-position model. The record is from RNAcentral. Lineage: Eukaryota; Fungi.